UAUUAUGUGGUAUUUCAUCCAGAACCGAUAAUCUUUCCGAGUACCAACUACGAACAAAUAUUAACACAAUGAUGAAUAUUAAGUAUUUUACUUUAUUAUGUGUAACAUAUUUUACUACAAUGGUAAUUUCUAUCGAUGAAGAGCAAAUAAAUAAUCUGUGGAAUGCGAUAAAAUAUGGCGAUAACGACUAUAUAAACUUUAACAACUUCCUUGAGUAUUAUGAACGCGAGGAAGCAAAUGAAUUUCUUGGCUUAACACGAAAAUAUGGAACUGAAUGUUUGAAUGAUAUAGGUAAAAAAGAAUUCAGAAUUAGAAAAGCCCAAUUCACCAAAGCCGCGUUAAAAGGUCUCAUACCAAGAUGGCCUAUAUCUGUGAUACGUGAUGAAUUUAAAAAAAUUGCCUAGUAGAAAAUUACCAACUCUAUAUUACUAUCAACGACAUGAAAAACUACUAUAAAGAAGAUGAAUAUACUUCAGAGGAACUCGAUGAUAUUAUGGCUGAUUUCGGAGCUUCGUCGGGCGGAGAAUGGAAAUUAUUAUACAAUGGCUUUAAAACAGCCAUGAACGUUGGUCGUCUUCCGGAACCCAAAUAGAAUACUAUUGAGAUGGUCGCCAA
This is a long non-coding RNA of Adelges cooleyi (spruce gall adelgid), 615 nucleotides long. RefSeq lists it as uncharacterized. The transcript has 5 exons. Lineage: Eukaryota; Metazoa; Arthropoda; Insecta; Hemiptera; Adelgidae. The record is from RefSeq and is a predicted model, not a curated record.